Long non-coding RNA from Carassius carassius (crucian carp), 524 nucleotides. RefSeq lists it as uncharacterized. The record is from RefSeq and is a predicted model, not a curated record. The transcript has 2 exons. Lineage: Eukaryota; Metazoa; Chordata; Actinopteri; Cypriniformes; Cyprinidae.
AAGACUUAAAUUUACCCUCAGUUUUGCUUUGCAUUUCUCAUCAGCUGUAGUAGGUAUACAUUUUUAGUAAAGAUAAUCAACAUCACAACUUUCAAGCCUUUCGUAAUGAUUAUUAUGUUAUGGAUAUGAACAUAUGUGUACUAUAUUUAUUUGAAACCCAUUUACAUUGUACUGAGAUAGUGAAUGAUUGCAUUUUUCUUUUUUUUUAAACGCUGUGAAAACACAUUUAUUUAUUCAUAUAACAUCAAUAGGUUUAAGUUUCAAAUUAAGUUGACCAUUAGGCAACCAUUUAUGAAAUAUUUGGACAGAUCUUUCAUGAUAAAAAAAUCUAGCAUUCUCAGGUUUUUAAGUAAUGUGUUAACAACAGCCUGCAUAUUAUGUUUCAAGAAUGUAGCAGAACUUCUCCAUCAAGUUAUCACUGAUUAUUGUUUUUUAUGAUGUACUUUGAUCAUUUGCAAACCACAUGUAGAAAUUGUUUGAAAAAUUUUGCACCAGUUUAUUAAAAAUGUCUUCUCUAAACAAAA